This 439-nucleotide ribosomal RNA is filed under the name uncultured bacterium. Its description in RNAcentral is "partial 16S ribosomal RNA". It matches the Rfam family "Bacterial small subunit ribosomal RNA", at positions 338 to 795 of the family's 1533-position model. The record is from RNAcentral.
CCUACGGGCGGCAGCAGUGGGGAAUAUUGCACAAUGGGGGAACCCUGAUGCAGCGACGCCGCGUGGGUGAAGGAGCGUUUCGGCGCGUAUAGCCCUAUCAGCAGGGGAGACGAUGACGGUACCUGAUUAAGAAGCCCCGGCUAACUACGUGCUAGCAGCCGCGGGAAUACGGAGGGGGCACGCGUUAUCCGGAUUUACUGGGUGUAAAGGGAGCGCAGUCGGCAGCGCAAGUCUGGAGUGAAAGCCCGGGGCCCAACCCCGGAACUGCUCUGGAAACUGUGCGGCUAGAGUACUGGAGGAGCAGGCGGAAUUCCUGGUGUAGCGGUGAAAUGCGUAGAUAUUAGGAGGAACACCAGUGGCGAAGGCGGCCUGCUGGACAGUAACUGACGUUGAGGCUCGAAAGCGUGGGGAGCAAACAGGAUUAGAUACCCGUGUAGUC